RNAcentral lists this ribosomal RNA (366 nucleotides) under Triticum aestivum (bread wheat). RNAcentral describes it as "partial small subunit ribosomal RNA". The record is from RNAcentral. Lineage: Eukaryota; Viridiplantae; Streptophyta; Magnoliopsida; Poales; Poaceae.
CACGGAGCGGCAAGGCUCCCGGGGAACGAGUGGCAACCACAGCCGGAAGAGGGUGAGUGUGUUCUUCUGGCUACCCACACCGACCGUGGGUUCUCUCUGCCUCCGAGUGUUUUCUUCCGUGGUUUCUUGAAUUUCUUUGGGGCGCAACUCCAUCACUUCAAUCCGAAUUCUAUCGCCUACCUUGCUGCCUUCGUGUCCAUGUGUGAGAACUUCCUGGGUUGCCGACCGCACUGGGGUCUGUUCAAGUAUAUAUUCACUUGUCGUUCUCAAACCGUGAAAAAGGCGAGUCCAGAUGACGAUAAGACCAAGGUUAUUCAGAUGUGUGGAGGUUUGGGGAUUCAGAUGAGGAACAAGAGCACCUUUCCG